This 342-nucleotide ribosomal RNA is filed under the name Triticum aestivum (bread wheat). RNAcentral's name for it is "partial small subunit ribosomal RNA". The record is from RNAcentral. Lineage: Eukaryota; Viridiplantae; Streptophyta; Magnoliopsida; Poales; Poaceae.
AUGGAAAACAACUGGAUUGUAUGGAACGUGAGGGGUUUGAACAACCCAGCCAGGAGAGUAGUAGUUAAGGAGUUGUUGUACCGAAACAAUGUAUCCUUAGUAUGUUUGCAAGAAACAAAACUAUCCUUCGUCGAUAGAGCCAUGGUGAACCAAUGUUGUGGCAUGGAGUUCUCUGAGUUUGCAUACCUGCCGGCUGUUGGAUCCAGAGGAGGUGUGUUAAUGGCAUGGAAGGGUGACCACUACUCCAUGUCCACCAUUGCAGUUCAAGGAUACACGGUGGCGGCUGUGGGGAAUGAUGCCAAGGGAACUCCGGUGGGUGUGAUUGGGGUAUAUGGCCCGUAG